This 252-nucleotide ribosomal RNA is filed under the name uncultured bacterium. RNAcentral's name for it is "partial 16S ribosomal RNA". It matches the Rfam family "Archaeal small subunit ribosomal RNA", at positions 474 to 726 of the family's 1478-position model. The record is from RNAcentral.
UACCAGCACCCCGAGUGGUCGGGACGUUUAUUGGGCCUAAAGCAUCCGUAGCCGGUCCUACAAGUCUUCCGUUAAAUCCAGCUGCUUAACAGAUGGGCUGCGGAAGAUACUAUGGAGCUAGGAGGCGGGAGAGGCAAGCGGUACUCGAUGGGUAGGGGUAAAAUCCGUUGAUCCAUUGAAGACCACCAGUGGCGAAGGCGGCUUGCCAGAACGCGCUCGACGGUGAGGGAUGAAAGCUGGGGGAGCAACCGG